UUAACUUCUUAAUUAUAAAAAUUGCUCUCCAAAGAAGUGUAUUGGAAACAUCCAGGUGUGGGGUUAUAAUUAAAAAUGAAAGCAAAACAGCCUCCCUUAAAAGAAGGGAAACUCUUAGUUCAGACUUACUGGAGAGCUGAUAAUGAGAGGGGAAAUGCUGGCAUCUAUAGAUACUAGGAAGUCUUGGGAUUUGGAUUUUAUCACUGACCAUCUGG
Non-coding RNA from Myotis brandtii (Brandt's bat), 215 nucleotides. The record is from Rfam. Lineage: Eukaryota; Metazoa; Chordata; Mammalia; Chiroptera; Vespertilionidae.